UGUGGUACCCCCUGCCUGGCCUGUGU
This 26-nucleotide non-coding RNA is filed under the name Homo sapiens (human). The record is from RNAcentral. Lineage: Eukaryota; Metazoa; Chordata; Mammalia; Primates; Hominidae.